GGCUUUGUGGUUGAGUGGUAAGAACACUUGCCUCUCACCCUUGAGUCCUGGGUUCGAUCCCUAGUCGAACAACUAGGACU
Rhamnusium bicolor is the source of this 80-nucleotide non-coding RNA. The record is from the annotation of a GenBank genome assembly. Lineage: Eukaryota; Metazoa; Arthropoda; Insecta; Coleoptera; Cerambycidae.